This 375-nucleotide ribosomal RNA is filed under the name Triticum aestivum (bread wheat). RNAcentral's name for it is "partial small subunit ribosomal RNA". The record is from RNAcentral. Lineage: Eukaryota; Viridiplantae; Streptophyta; Magnoliopsida; Poales; Poaceae.
AUGAUUUUGCUUUAUUCUAUUGAUCAGAUUUGCCAAGUCAUUUUUCCUUCGAGGUAUUUAGCAUUGCCGAAUUUAUAUAUUUACCUAAAUUUAAUCUUGACCCAAUUUGCUCUGGUCAAUACAUGCAUGAUGCCUUUUCUUUUCUAUAAACUGGAUGUAGGGUUAGUUUACUAUGCCGAUCCGAGCCAGCAUCAGGCGCGCCAAGCUCGCCGUCCACAUGCCUCCUCUUCGUCUGCAGCCGCAGUGCCAAAUCGCUCCCCAUCCGAGCAGAUGACUGUGCGUGAAGCACUGAGUUGCGCCCUUGAUGAGAUGUCUGGCAAUGCUUCUGUUUUCUUAAUGGGAGAAGAGGUACCACGAUACCACCUGGAAGACUAA